This 16120-nucleotide long non-coding RNA is filed under the name Homo sapiens (human). RNAcentral's name for it is "HSALNT0072380". Lineage: Eukaryota; Metazoa; Chordata; Mammalia; Primates; Hominidae. The record is from RNAcentral.
CAGACUUCCCUUUCUUCUGUGUUUCCAGUUAGCAUGAGCCACGUGUCAUGCUAUUCUGGAAGGCAGGAAGAAAGCAAAAGCCAUUUUGUAGCUCACACACUUCGUUGCUGAUCUGCAAACUCACCUUGGAAUAAAGCAGAGCUGGGCCUCAAUUAUUCCCCUUUUCUCCUGGAUCUUCCUUCAGUGUCACUGACUCCUGGACCAGAUUUGCUGCUCAGUCAUAAUAGGAUGUCAGCGGCCUUCAGUGCCUACAUCUUCCCGCAUCCCAUGAACUCACGUGGGAAAUACCUGGAGCCCAGAUCUUCCUGAGAGAGCUGCGGAAAAACCUGACACCUGCUCAGGGCUUUUUCAUAAUCAAAGGUGAUGCUGAUGCACAGUUGAGGGGUGUGAAAAAUCAAGCAAAACUCUCCGUGAAUGCUGAAUGACAACCACAAGCUCUGUUUGUUGAGGAUCUGGAGUGAGUUCUGCCAGCUGCCUUUGGCCCAGAUCUCCAUGGAGUGACUCAUCAUACCUCUGCAUUUCUGGGAAUUUGGAAUGUUCUUUUAUGAUUUUUUAAUUAAGGAAAAAAGUGUUUUGCUUAGAAUAUAUACAUCUACAUAUUUGAAAGAAAAUACACCAAAAUGUCAAGUGUUCAUUUUGAGGCAAAGGAUCUAAAUAGAAAACAUUAAAGAAGUCUCACUCCGAUGAAUGAGGCCGAGCCUGCAGCUCAAGGAAACCCUGGAGACUGCAUAGGGUGUUGGAAGAAAGAAUCUCAGAAGAAAGAAAUCUUCCCAUGAAGAGAGAACAUCAAUUUCCAAGCCAGCAAGGGCGAGCUGGGGCCUCAGGAAGGAGGGGUGGGGUGGAGAGUGAACAGAUCCACACACUGGUAAGGUAGAUGAAUAAGAGAGAAACACCUAAAGCUUGCCCGAAAGCAAAGUCCUUGACCAGGUUUUUGUUCUGUGGAGGUCCCUUAAAACAACCCUGACUGGAGUUUUCUUUAACUGGCCCUGAGGGGAGAAAAAUGCCAGGACUCACCAAUGGAUGUUUCUCAAAUGCAAAGAAUCCUUCCAGUGGUCGUCUAUGUGUAGUGACGUGGGCAGCCCUGAUAUGAUCUGAGGGGUGCAGCGCAGUGGUUCCUCCCACACAGAUUCUGGCUCUGGCCCCAUCCUGGUUUUUGAACACCUAUCUACAUAACCUGCUAUGGAGUAAAGGUAUUGUUUGCCCAACACGCCUGUUGAAAGGCAAGUGUCCCUGGUAGGGUAAUCCAUUAGCAUUGGCAGGUCCUUCAGCAUAGAUGUGUGUCUCAGAUUAGAGGACUAGAAAGGCCUGGAAGUUGGGGAGAGUUAGUCUGAUAUGGAACAUUAGAGAGGAAUAGAGAAGGAGGGGAAGGAGAGAGGAGGGCAAAAGGGAGAGCAUUUUGACCAGCAUUUGGCCUUGAGACAGAAGGGGCUGAGUGAGGAUGAGAGCAGAAAUUUAAAUGGGAAGGUGUGGGGGCCCCUAAGGGGUUACUGUUUCUUCCACAAGCUACCAGGGCCAGACUCAUUCUUUCCUAAGGGCUCUCAUUCUUCCUCAAGCCCACUGGUGAAUUCACCUUUGAGUAUAGGCCAAAAGAGGAGACAACUCACUUCCUUUUAAUUAUUGAAACAAUAAUGUAAUAGCACCAUCAUUAAGCACUGGUUCUUAACUUGGGAGGGAGGUGAUCAUCGAACUCCUCUGAGAAUCUGAUGAAAGCUGUGCUCGUACUUCUCAAAAAAAUAAACAUAUGCACAGCCACACAAAAUAUGGUAUGUUUUCACUUGUUUUAUGGACACUGUGGGGGCCCAUCUCUGGGUCCCAUGAGAGGCCAUUGUCUCCUAGCUAAAAUGCUUUGAUUUAUUCUUUAAUAAUCCUAACACAGAGGUUUCAUUUUUGUGCAUUUAUUCUAAGCCCUCUUCCUUAUGCAUGCAUAAUUGUUACAGUGCAAUCAUAAUCUACAUACAAUUUAUGUGUUCUACUUUAUAAAAUCUAACAUUAUCUGGUAAACAUUUUUCUAUGUUGUUAUAUAUUCUUCACAAUUAUAAAUUUGAAUGAAUAUAUAAAAUUGUAUUGAAUUGUUGCAGUAUAAUUUUCUUAACUGUUCCUUAAUGACUAGGUGUUUAAAUGGCUUCUAAUUUUGUAGUAUAGAUAAUGCUACACUGAAUAUCCUUAUCCAUUUAUCUUGCUUCUGUUGAAUGUUUCCUUGAGAAAAAUUCCUACCCUUUACAAAAUCAAAGUGUAAGAAUAUUUUUAUGGGUCUUAAAAGAUGAUGUGAUAUUGCUUUCCAAAGAAGUUAUAAUUUUGGGUACCGCCAAUAGUAUACAAGUGUCCCAAUUUCCCCAAAUCUUUACCUAUAAUGGGUACUAUUAUUGAAUUUUUUUCUAAUUUAAUAGUUUUCAAAGCAUCAAGAAGAUAGUCUGAUGUUUGGUUGCCAAGGGGUGAAGUGGAGAAUGAGAAGAGUGUACUGGGAGGAUGGGGAAGUCUGGUCUAUAAUGGGAAUGGAUAAAGCUUCUAAGCUUUUCAGUAACAACUGGAACCAAGCAGGCUAUAUGAGUUAAGGAGCAGCACUCACGGACUUAGUAAACAGUACAUUCCCACUUUCUGUCCAAUCCCUUUUCAAGCUUCCACUUCUAAAUUUUAUCAGUCAAAAUGGAAACUGGGAGCUAGGGUUUGAUCAGGACCAACAGGGUUACUGUGGGUCACUUUGUAAGGCUACUGUGAUAUGGUAACAGUAUGGUUUAUCCUCAGGAUGUCAUUGUCUCUAAAAAAUUGCCUUGUGCUCCAUAGCAGCACUAUCCAAUAGAAACAUAAUGCAAGCCACAUAUACGUAGUUUUCAGUUUUCCAGUAGCCACACUAAAGAAAAAAAGUAAAAAGAAACAAAUGAUCCUCCUGACCUCAAAAUAUAUUACAAAGCUACAGUUGUUAAAACAUGGUACUAGCAUAAAGACAGACAUACACACCAAUGGAACAGAAUAGAAAGCUCAGAAAUAAACUCACAGGUAUACAUUCAACUGAGCUUUGACAAGGGUGUCAAGAAUAUAUAAGAGGGAAUGGACAGUAUCUUCAACAAAUGUUGUUGGGAAAACAGGAUAUCCACAUACAAAAUAAUGAAAUUAAAUCUUUAUCUUACUGUAUGCAUAAAAAUUAAUUCAAAAUUGAUUAAAGACUCAAACGUAAGACCUGAAACCAUAAAACUCCUAGAGAGAGGAAAAGCUUUAGUACACUGGGCUUGCUAAUAAUUUCUUAGAUAUGAUACCAAAGUACAAACAACAAAAGCAAAAUUGUACAAUGUGACUACAUGAAACUAAAAAGCUUCUGUACAACAAAGGAAACAAUUAACAGAAUGAAAAGGCAGCCUACAGAAAGGGAGAAAGUAUUUUCUAUAUAUAUAUUGAUAAGGGAUUAACAUCCAAAAUAAAUAAGUUCCUACGACUUAGUAGCAAAAAACCAAAUAAUCUGAUUUAAAAACAGGCAAACAGGCAAAGGACUUGAAUAGAAAUUUCUCCAAAGAAGACUUACAAAUGGCCAACAGGUGUAUGAAAAGAUGCUCAACAUCACUAAUCAUCAGGGAAAUGUGAAUCAAAGCCACAGUGAGAUAUCACCUCACACCCAUUGAUAUGGUUAUUGUCAAAAACAAAACAAGGCUGGGAGUAGUGGCUCACAUGUGUAAUGCCAGUACUGUGAGAGGCCAAGGCAGGAGGAUCACUUGAGGCCAGAAGCUCAAGACCAGCCUGAGCGAAACAGUAAGACCCCGUCUCUUCAAAAAAUUAAAAAAUUAGCUGGGCAUGGUGGUGUGCCCGUAAAAUCUCAGCUACUUGGAAGGCUGAGGUGGGAGGAUCGCUUGAGUCCAGGAGUUCGAGGCUGCAGUGAACUAUGAUCACACCACUACACACCAGCCUGGGUGACAGAGCAAGACCUUGUCUCAAAAAUAAAUAAAUAAAUCAGACAAAAAAGAUUAAAAUGUUGGUGAGACUGUGGAGAAAUUGGAAUUUUUAUAUACUGUUAGUGGGAAUGUAAAACAGUGCAGCCAAUAUAGAAAACAGUAUAAAGUUUCCUCAAAAAAUAAAAAAUAGAACUACCAUAUGUUCCAGCAAUUCCACUACUGGGUAUAUCCCAAAAGAAUUGAAAUUAGAAUCUUGCAGGGAUAUCUGUACUCCCAUGUCCAUUGCAGCAGUAUUAGCAAUAGCCAAGACAUGGAAGCAACCAAAAUGUUCACUGGCAGAUGAAUGGAUAAAAAAAUAUGGUAUAUAUAUACAAUGGAAUAUUAUUCAGCCUUUAAAAAGAAGAAAAUCCUGUCACUUGAGACAACAUGGAUGAACCCGGAGGACAUUAUGCUAAGUGAAAUGAGCCAGUCACAGAAGACAAAUACUGCAUGAUUCCACUUCUAUGAGGUACCUAAAAUAGUCAGACUCACACAAGCAGAAAAUAGAAGUGACUACCAGGAGCUGAGCUGGGGGGAGUAGGUUGGGACUUGUUCAGUUGAUAUAAAGUUUUGGUUAUGCAGGAGAAAUAACUUCUAGAGAUCUGCUGUACAGCAUAGCACCCAUAGUGAAUGGUACUGUAUUAUGCCCUUAAACAUUUGUUAUGAGGUUAGAUCUCAUGUUAAGCACUCUUGCCAAAAACAAACAACACAAAACAAAGAAAAAGGAAAAAAACAGUGGAGGGAGGACACAGGGAAACUUUUAAAGGUGAUGGAGAUGUCUAUUACCUUGAUUGUGGUGAUAGUUUUAUAGGUGUAUGCAUAUGUCCAAACUCUUCAAAUUAUAUGCAUUAAACGUACAUAGUUUUAAUAUAUCAAUUAUAUCUCAAUAAAACUAUUAAAAAACAAAUCAAAUUAACUUCAGUACUAUAUAUUAUUUAACCUGUCAUAUAUUUAAAAAUAUCAUUUCAGCAUGUAAUCAACAUAAAAAUUAUUAAGUAUUUUCACAGUCCUUUUUUCAUACUAAACCUUUGGAAACUGUUGCAUAUUUUAUACUAACAACACAUCCCAGUUCGAGACACCUAUAUUUCUAGUACUCAGUUGCCACAUGUGGUCAUGGCCACUGUAGUAGACAGUGCAGCUCUGUGGCCUCAGCCCACAGAGAUGAGCCUAGGAUGCUUUGCAUUGCAGAACUGUCUUUCUCUUAACGCUUGAGCUAUUGGGAAAUCAGAGCCAUGUUAUUUAUCAUGAAAGAGCAUUUGAUUAAAAGUAUAAAAUAUCCUAGGUCAGAUGGCUCACUGUAGUUGCAGGGGAGACAGUGAAUUGCUGACCAUGCACUGUGAUACAUCAAAAUAUAGGGACAUUCAGGCACCUCCUCAGCCUACUGAAUCAGGAUCUUUGGGGUGAGUCUAGAAAACAGAUUUUUAAGUACAGGUUUUAAUAUGAUAAUAAGUGGUGCCUGUUAUUAAUGGGAGGACAUUGAAUCCCAGAGAGAAUGAAUGACUCACUCAUGUUCUUCUCAUAGUUAGGGGUCAGCUAGACCUAGAACCUCACUUGGACCCACUAGACACCUUUCCACGCCCUCACCACAAUCACUGCCAACUGCUAUUCCAGCACAAUUCUUGCCAAGAAAAUACCUGCUGUCAUGUGACAGGUAUCAGCACACUUUAGGAGCAGUCAAGACAACUUCCUAAGAAGGUAAACUAUAUUUUCCCAACUUACCAAAUUAGAGUAAGAAGAAUAGAUUUCUUCCUUUAAUCUGGCUUUGUCUCAGACUGGAAGUGCUCUCUUGUCCAGUUAGAAACUAAUCGUGAUAAAAUUAGUAGGCCAGAAGGACACUCAUGGCCCAUCUUUAACAGGAUUUAUAGCCCUGGUUCCUUUUCUUGUUGCCUCUGUGGAAAUGUGCAAGCAUACACAUAGUUAGGAAGGUUUGAAGGAAAUGCCUUAGAGAAGUCUCAGUGACCAAGAAAAGCUAGUCAAAUUGCCAGCUUCGGCCACAGCCAUGUGUUAAAAUGCUCUGCAGACCCAAGUGUGAUCAUGAAACAAGUACAGCAAGAACAGCAGGUCUGUAAACAUCCUGAUGACAAUGGGGAACAAACAGCUGGGCCGAGACCAGAUCGGUUCAGGCAAAUGUGCUCGUGCUUUUGAUCCAAGUGCAAGAUGAGCGGAUGCAGGGGAGGCGGCAGCUGCGGCACAGCUGGACUCAGGAGGCAUGUGAUAGCGUGACUUGCAAAUCAUGCUGGAAAAAUUCAUUCUACUAAGCUUGGACGUGAACACAGUCACGUGGGGCCCAUCAGCUCACACACUGCAGCCAAGAGCGAGACAGAAAUGCAACCGGGCUAAUAAGAGGCGUCAGGCCCACUUCUAGUUGGACACGGCUGUCUUUCAGGGAAGGAAUGGGACAGGAAAUGCACUAUAUUUGGAAAUGACUCUAAAUUUAGAAUGAAAGACUGACUUGAGAAUACUGAAAACUUGAUUGAGAGAUACUUAAAUGUAUUUUAUAAGCAUGGAAGGCAUUUACUGGGGUCUCUACCAUAGUGUUUUUUGCUUGUUUGUUUGUUCGUUGAAGACAAGGUCUCACUGUGUCACCCAGACUGGAGUGCAGUGGCACAAUCACAGCUCACUGCAGCCUCAACCUCCUGGGCUCAAGUGUUCCUCAUGCGUCAGCCUCCAGAGUAGCUGAGGCUACUUGACCACAGGCAAGCACCACAUGCCUGGCUAAUUAAAAAAAUUUUUUUUUGUAGAGAUGGUAUCUCCCUGUGUUGCCCUGGCUGGUCUCAAACUCUUGGGCUAAAGUGAUCCUUCCACUUCAGCCUCCUAAAGUGCUGGGAUUGCAGUUGGGAGCCACAGCUCCUGGCUUCAUAGUGUUUAAUAUGAAAGGCUAUUCUGAUCUUUCCUACUGGUCUAGCACUUUGGGGUUUGCAAAGAGCCUUACAUUCACUUUCACUUCACCAAUGAGUAAAUAAGCCUCAGAAAAACUGAGUAAAUACUAGAGCUCCAGUGGCGCAAUCGGUUAGCGCGCGGUACUUAUACAGAAAAACUGAGUAAAUACUGAAUGUAUGUGUGUGUAGACAUACAAUAUUACAUGAUGUGCUAUUAAUAUAGCAUGUGUAUAUAUACUGUUUUACACAUAUUUAUAUAUAUUAUCAUACUAUAUAUGCAUAUAUGCAUACUAUUAUAAUCAUUCAUUUAACAAAUAUUUAUUGAGCAAUUACUUAGGUACCGGGCACAGUGCAGUAUAUCAACAAGGGUAAGGGAUGCAGACAUUGCAACUCUCAUGGAACUCAGAGCCUAGUUAGGAAGAAAACCAUUGCAUAAACAAUCACAACAUAAAUAUGAUUAGAGUCUGGAGUAAGUGCUACAAAAGAAAAGUCUAAGAGGUCACAAGAGUAUAAGAAGAGGGUCUGCCUUGCCUGGAGCAUCAGAUGCUCCCCUGAGGAAGGAGCCUGUGAGCUGAGCGGUCCGGAUGAGCAGGUGUUUUCUACAGUCUGUGCAUUGUGUCUGCUGAGAAUCUGGAAAUUAAAAAUGCUGCUGUUGGGGGUUUCACCAUGUACGGACGAGGCAGGAGUUCCUCCAAAAAAUACAAAUUCCAUGAGGUUAAAUCAGACCUCUCAGCCCCAAUCAAAAGGUAAGGACUUCGUGGAAGCUAAGGUCAAAGUCCAAUCGAUUUAAUAGACCCUGAGAAUGUAACAUCCUAUGGAAGCUGAAAUCUAAGUGCAGGUUAGUUCUCCCAAUUGCUUUCUGCCCUUUAAGGUUAGAGAAAGAUGACAGCAAGAAGCAUAAAACUCAGUUGUGGCUCUCAGAGCAGUCCUUGUUUUGAGGUUUUCUUUUUUCUGUCUUCUCCUUUCCCCCCUGUCUCCUCUCUGUCUUUGUCCUCCUUCCUCUACCUUCUUUAUUUUUCACUGUUAUAGAUUAGUACCAUCUAUUCUAUUAAUAUUGACUAUAAAUGCAUGUUUUCUUCAUGUUAAAUGCCUAUCAAUUGUCUUCUACCUUCCAAAAGUUAAAAAUGUAUAUAUGAUAUGGCAAAACUUGUGCUAGAUCACAAAAGCAAGCUUUCAUUUUGAUUUACACAGGUAUGUGUGUACACACAAACACACUAAAUACAAAGGGUUGCUGCUAUAGGCUAGCAUAAAUAGCUUCCUGAUUCUUAACACAUCAGGUAAUAUAAAUUCUGGUAAGCUCAGACUGCCUCUAUAUGUUCAUAUCAAUUAGCCUUAAGGGUCUUUUUCUGAAGCACACGGUAAAAUCAACACAGCAUUAGGAGCUAUUUUCUCAAAAACAAAGAGUUUGAAUUCUUGCUGUAGUAGUUCUGAAGUAAAAGAGAGGCUCCUUGCCCCUCGUUGUUCAAAGUCAUCCAUUUCCAACAGGCGAGGGCAUCAACAAUUUGGCAGAGGCAGGUAAAAAAGAGCCAGGGGAACCCAAGUGAAAUUUCAACACAGCGGUUGCCUUGGAACCCAUUUGGAGGUUAACUUGCUCUUGUUUCUCCAGCAUUUCCUUGCUGAAGGAAAUUUGUACUCCAAUUCCAGCCGCGUUCCAACUCCAAUAAAACAGUGAUAAGAUGCCCUGGAGGGUUGCAGCCAAGCCUGUGGGUGCAAACAGGGUCAAAUCACAUCAUGGGAAUGAGAUGGGAUUCUACAUAGUUUGAGUGUUGACUGUUUUCCUCUUGCCAACAGUGGGACGUUUGUUCUCAUUGUUAAAUAAUUAAAUAGGCAGUUUGUAUUUAUUUAACAUACAGACUGUAGCCAAUUCCUGCUGACAGCUACCAAAAUAACCCCAUAUUUCCUAGCUCUGAAUGGCUCAGAAGACUGUUUCCUGACUGCGGGAGCAUCACCGCAGAGCAAAACUCUCCUCCAAGUCUCCGAACACCUUUUUCAUCACUUUAAACAAUAAAUCAAUUCACAGCAUGUGAUCCAAAAACAACAGCCCAGUUUUAUUGGAUGAGGUUCAUUCCCAUUCUCUCAGGCACUCCUUCACUACCAGCACUGAGCUGUCUUGAAGCUGUACUUGGCUGUGGAUGGAAAAAAAAAAUCUACUAGUUUUCCUCAUUUACACUUGCCCAUUAAAAAAAGUGAAUUGUGACCUAAUAACUUAAAAAAGAAAAAAAAAAAGAAGAAUUAUAACUUGGAGGAGAAAGUAGAAAGUUUGGGAGAAGCAGGCCAAUCAGGAAGUCAGGGGAAACAAGUAUUUAAAUGUGGAGGUGGGUAGUCCUUGGAGCUUGGGAAUGAUUCAAGAUAAGGUAGAGACUCUCACUGGUCUCCUAAGGUGGUCAACAUGGCAGAGGGAAGAAACUGAGCAGUCAAAGAUAGCAUCCUCUGUGGAGGGUGGUGCUAAGAGAGAUUCUAGAACCAUUUACACAUGAUCAAUGCUUUGAUCCUGUCAUGUGUAUCAGAAGAGAUGUAGACCAGGCCGGGCAUGGUGGCUCACGCCUGUAAUCCCAGCACUUUGGGAGGCCAAGGUGGGCAGAUCACUUGAGGCCAGGAGUUCGAGACCAGCCUGGCCAACGUGGUGAAACACUGUCUCUACUAAAAAUACAACAACAAUUAGCUGGGCGUGGUGGCACGUACCUGUAAUCCCAGCUACUCGGGAGGCAGAGGUUGCAGUGACUGAGAUUGCACUACUGCACUCCACUCUGGGUGACAGAGAGAGACUCUGUCUCAAAAAAAAAAAAAAAAAAAAAAAAAAAAAAAAAAAAAAAAGGAGAUAUAGACCAGACUCCUCUUGAAAUUUCCUGGUAUUUGUAGUGUCUGAGGCAUUCAGACAGUAGGUGCUAAAGACUUAUCCCUAGGAGUCCGGAGUCCCACUUAAGUGGAAGAAGGAAGCGAUUUUCCCUGUCCUAAGUGGCUAGCUACCAGCCAGCAGCCAGGCGAUGUGUGGGUACUGACAUACCACAGCAUCUUCCUCUCGAUGCUCCCACUAAUGUGGCCACCAAAGGUCCACCCUAGAGGAAACAGCAAUGAAAGGAAACAGGACAAAAGACCCCGUGGCAAGAAAAAAGAUGGCCUAAUUUUUUCUUUCUCACCAUUCCUCUUGUCCUCUUAACCCAUCUCUUUACUGUGCAAUUUGCACUUUGAGUGGCUCUACAGAUGGUGGAUACAGUGAAGACCUCUGUUAUCAAUAUUAAAACUGAGCAUCAGUGAGUCAACAAGGCUCCACUUUGUCCUGUUCAACUUUAGCAGCACCACAGAGAUCAGAACUAAGUAAAGCCAUUUACACAAUUAAGGAGGAGGCUGCCUUUUAGAGUGGCACAAGCAUUUCCUCUGGAGUAGUGUGUCUGAACCAGGAAGUCCCUCUCUGCCUUGUCUGUGGAUUUUAGACAGUCUGAAUUCAGUUUCUUCUUCUGUGAAAUAGAUCAGCCCCACUUGUACUGUCAUAGUAUUGCUCUGAGUAUGGAAAAGGACAAUGGAAAAUGAGGUGCUCUGUAUUCUGUUAUUUGUCAUUAGUUGUGUUCUACUAACCAAACUUUAGGCAUGGUGGAGUUCAUUUCUGCCUCUUCUGGAGAUAGGAAACUAUAGAACUAACUUCAGAUGUAGAUUUUUUUAAAGUUGUCACUCUGUCCCUUUUCUUGUUUGUAAAAGGAGGAAGUGCUUCUGUGUGCCCUCCAAGGCUUCUUCCAACCUUCCAAAAAAAGAAAAAAAAGGCAGACAGUCCAUUCAAGGAUGGCAAUCAUGAAAUCUUGACCUACUUUGGAAUGAGAGGCAACAUCUAAGAAAACCUCAGCUUAAUCUCUAUUAGCUCACCACAGAAGCAUAUAUUCUGGGCUAAGAUCUCUCAGAAGCUGGGCCAUGGCCAUGGCAUGUGCUUAAAGCAUAAUAAAAUGGAUGUGGAAAAAAGAGGAGUGUAUCCCACCUGCUCAUUAUCUGGGGCCAUAUUCCUAGCAGGGUAGUUCAACUAUUCACAGCCAAGAAACAUUUUUGAUCAGAGUCCAAAUCUCCAUCCAGAAACAGGUUCCUGGCAUACCACUCAUGCCCCUGUAAUCAAUUCCCUGGACUGUGAAUCAAGUGACUACUGCCAGAGCAAUGGAGUUGGAUUGUUGACUUUUUGACAGGUCUCUCGCCUCUUUCUGCAUCUUAUGUCUUCCCCGCUCUCCUUCUUGCCCCACCUACUGAAGCCCUCUACCUUCAUCCCUUUUCUCCCUUACCAAUCUCUCCUCCCUCCAUUUUUUCCUUUCUCUGCACCUCAGCUGAUGGCAGAUACUAUUUUUCAUACUUCUAAGCUUGCAUCAGUAUCAACACAGCCAGAUUCACUCACAUUUCCCUCCCCCUCCUCCCUCCCUGUCCCACUCCAAUUCUUUCCAAGGAGAACUUGGGGAUUGUGUCCAAACUGGGACUGAAUACAACCAACGAGGAACCCGAUGAUCCAAGUCCCACCCCCACAGCACACUAUAAUCCAGCACUGUAUAGAGCAGUUCACAGAACCAAAUAUAAAGCCCUUAUUAAGAAUAAACAUGUUGGCUGGGUGUAGUGGCUCAUGCCUAUAAUCCCAACACUUUGGGAGGCUGAGUUGAGUGGAUAACUUGAGUCCAGGAGUUCAAGACCUGCCUGGGCAACAUGGUGAAGCCCUGUCUUUACGAAAAAUCCAAAAAAAAAAAAAGAUUAGCUGGGCAUGGGGCAUGCGCCUGUAGGCCUAGCUACUUGGGAGGCUGAGGUGGGAGGAUAGCUUGAAUCCAGGAGGUUGAGCUGCAGUUAGCCAUGAUUGCAUCACUGCAUUCCAGCCUGGGCAACAGAGCAAGAUCCAGUCUAAAACAAAAAAACAAAAAAAGAAGAAUGAACAUUAUUCCAUAUGGAGACUUAGCCUCUGUCAGUUAGACCCCUUGACAUCCAUAACACAGAACUGGAAACUGGACAAUGGGCAAAGAAAGAAAAAUCACAGGUUCAGGUUACAGAAAAGAAGGCAGGGAGAAAGGGCAAGUUAAUCUAAAUACUGGGUAAGAGACAAAAAGCUAAAUGAGAUGGAGGAGCAUUCCGUGGUGGGAGUGGGAGGUGUUAGUAAACAGGGGCUGUGGAGCAACAUGGGUCCAGGAGAGUUGGGGAGACAGAAAAGGACAUAUGAAAAGUGUUGCCAGCUGGUAAGUUACAUCCUCAUAACUUCUUCUUAAGACAUAGAAAUUAGAGGCUAAAUUCCUUUUUCAUUACUUUUGACUGAUCUGUAAGUUUGUGAAUAUAAAUCUCUGGAAACUGAGGCACAUGGUCAAGGAGGCACACAGGCUACACGCUGGAGUUUAGGUAACUCUCAGAUCUUCUGAGCCAUCUUCAGAUUAAUCUCAGAUCAAAGAGGUUUAGAAAGGGAGAUGAUCUUCAGGAAUCUCCCUUACAAUACACUCUCAUCAGAUGCAUUUUUCAAAGGACAUUUGCUUUAGCAGAAUUGGAGAGAGAUAAAUCGCAGCCCUGUGCAUUCGAUACUUGAUACAUCCUUCCUCCACUGAGAAGCUAAUGCUCUAGUUCUGGGUUUACCUGAAGCCAUUAGGAGAGCUAAAACUCCAUGUAGUGUGCUCUGCUAAAAGUAAGUGGAUUUCGGAGCUAGAAGAAGAAUUCUCUCUCUCUGUAGUUCAAAUGGCAUUCAGAAAUCCAAUUAACGUUGGUUUUUCUAAAGCAGAAUCUGUAAUUGUGUCCAAUACUGCCAACUGUUCAGUUCGAUAAUAAAACAGGCUAUUCUUAAGAUGGCCUGUAGUCAUUAGGGAAAGUCUAGCUCUGUAGGAUACAAUUUCUCUUUGGAAUAAUAUAUGUGAUGUUUUUAUAAUUUCUUUCAUCCAAGCAUUUCAAAGCAUUUUAAAAUAAUUUGGAGACACAGGAUAUAUAUUUUUCAUAAAUUAAGCUACAUAUGUCAAUACUUUGCCUAGGGACAGAAAUUAAUUAUUCCACAGAAGUGAUGCUGGUAUCUAAUCUUAUUACAUUUAUACUGUAAAAGUAUCAUUAUUAAUAAUUAUGACAGCUAUUAUUUAUUGAAAGCAGAAUGCUUAUCCUGUUAGGCAUUGUGUUAAGUGCUUUGCGUGUAUUAUCUCAUUUAAUCUUCCCAUGAAUCCAAUUCUAAAUCUAAUCCCAUUUCAGUAUGAUUCUAUGAGUAAAGUACUACUUCUAUCCUUUUUUCACAAAUGGUGUCAAUUAGGUUCAAAAAAGUUUAAGUAGCAUGCCCAUUGUCACAUCGCUAGUAAGAAUGGUGGAGCAUCUCUUAUUGGGGAGGACCAGUUAUUAAGAGUUCCGAUGGUCAAUUUCCUUUUCAAAUGUCACUUGUGUGGCAUAUUGUGCAGCCUGUUUGAUCAUGAAGAGAUGGCCUUCUUAAUUCUAGAACCGUGUGGCUAAAAUCUUUGCUAAUUCUUGAAUGUACCAAGGGCUCUACUGUCUCUCAACACCUUGUAAGUAAAGAAAACUUAAGGGUGAUUUUUAAAGUAUGGCAAAGAACAACCUUUCUCAACUGUCAGACAGUUCUCUAGAUCACAACUAUAGCACAUACCAUACCAAAAAUUACAAAAUUUGGAAACAUAAAGUUGUCAUCUUCCUCCUGGGUUAUUGCAGUGUCCUAAUUGUUCUCCUUGCUUCUCAUUUUGCCCCCUUGGAAUAAAACCCAUGGCUAAAUGUUUUAGCCUAGCUUACCAGUAAUCUGAUCUCAUCUUAUGCCACGCUCUUCCUAACCCACUCUAUUCCAGCCACACUCACUCAGCCUUUUCCAGCUCUUCAAACACACCAAGUUCUUCUUGCCUUUAUACAUACUAUCAUCUCCUGUUGAAACUUCAUACUCCUGCUCUUCUCCCAUAUUCCUUCCUCCUAUUUCUUGGCUCUUAAAUGUUAUAAAUGGUGUUCAGUCACAUACACACACACAUUCACAAACACACACCCCACGUCUAAAUUACACCCUGUUUUUCCUUCAUAGCUCUUAUCCAUAUUUACAGUUUUCUGUUGUUUUGAGUACUUUGUCUAAUGAGUGUCUCUUCAAUUGGACUAUAAGAUCCAUGAGGGAAAAUUUCAUAUCUCUUCAUUUACCAUUGUAUUCCCAGUGCCUGAUACACUGCCUGACUAUAUUAGAAGCCAGUGAACUAUUUCAUAAGUUGAGUGACUCUAAGUUUGAUUCCUUAUCAACCACCUAAUUGCUGUGUGACCUUUGGAAAUGCAUAUUCAACUUCUUCUCUGAGUGUCAGUCUUUUCAUCUGUUAAAUGGGGCUCACAAUACCUAUAUUACAGGAUCUACAUGGAGAAGAUGUAUGCUAAUAUAUAUAAAAUGCUUCAAAAAUUGUUAAACCUUGUAGAAUCUCGAACUUUAAAUUCAGUAUCGCCCCAUUGAAGCUAAGGGUGUUUCCGCCAGUUUAGUAGGCUAAACUUGCAGAAGGAGCAGACUUUGGACAGCAUGUGGGCAAUUUUCACAAGGCGUUUAACUGGGCUUCAAGCCCAGGGCACUCAGAGGCUCAGCAAGGAGUGAAAUAGGGCCAGCUCGCCCCCCGAGGGGUCCAUCGGUCCCUUGACUAAGCUGGUAUGCUUAUGUUGUGUAUUUGUGCAUCAUAAACACAGCCAUCUAUCUGGUUUUUUGUCCUCUUUUCUGACUGACUUCUCACUCAAAGCACAAAGAAAAAGAAAGGAAAUGCAAAGUCAUGUGCAUCAACAGAGCCUAUAUCUUUGAGUAUCUUAGUGACUUGGGAUUAUUUUAAGGGAAAAAAUAUGGGAAAGUUCUGCAGGGACCUAACACACAUGGCUGGCUAUCAUCUAUACUCCAAGUAGACAUCGCUUUCUUAACUGUUGUAGUUGUUUGGAAGGAAGGGUGUGUCUGAUGCAGCCUAGAACUUUUCCCAGGGAUUUUGGGGAAAGCUCUCUUCCUUCUUAUUGAUCUGGAUUUGAAAAAGCAAUAAUAUCUAAAACUACGUUAGGGGAAAGGUCAGAAAAGAGAAGUCACCUGAUAGAGAAAGGGUCAAGGUAGACAGAGGUCACCAGUGGAGACUAAGGUCUAAGACAUAUGGUUUCCUUUGACUUUCUUCUCCUCACCAGUGGGUAAAGUGGUGAACUGGAUAUCAGCAUUCUUGGAAACUCCUGGAAGUUUUCUAAUUCUCUACAGAACCAUGAAGUGAACAGGGCACUUCAAAGAAUACUUGAUCCAUAGCCCUUGCUUUUUCAUAGGUUAGUCUCUGAAACAAAUGAGAAAGUAAUUCACAUUAUAAGUGGUAUUCCAAAAACAACAGCCAUUUGGGAUUCUUAUCUGGUAUUGAGGGGUAGACAGGAUUUUUCCAAGCUUGAAUAAAAGUCCCAGGAUCUGCUAGACACGGGGAAUUUACCCUCUCUUCUUCACCCAUGUGAAAUCUCACUCCACGACCAUUCCCUGACCUAGGCCCCAUCAUCUCCUGCUUGGGCCACUUCAAGAGACUCCUAAGCAACUUUUCGCUUCUGGUCUGGUGCCUGCUCCACUUCACCCCCAAUCCAUUCACACUUUACCCAGAGUGAUCUUUCUGAAACAAAUCUAAUCAUACAAACCCUGCUUGAAUGUCUUCCAUCAUUCUCCACGGUUGUGGAGGUAAAGUCCACACUGUAACAUGGCCUAUGAGGCCUUCCUACCUCACCAGCAUCAUCUCGUAUAAUUCUUCCCAUAUCUCACCAUCCACCUCGGCCCACCUCUUAUUAUUCAGGCAUGCUGUUCUUAAGGCAGGUCCUGAACAGGCUGUGCUCUCUUGGGACUCUAGGUCUUUACAUAUCUGUGAAUUAUAAAGUUCACCUUCUCACUACUAUUAUUCAAAACAUUUUCUUGGAGCUCUUUCAUUGCGCUUAACAUUGUACUUGGCAGUAGAACAGACAGACAGGUAAACAAGUAGUUACAGUUCAGAUAUUACAGAGGACAAAAUGUAUAAAUGUGAUAGAAGCCAGAGAAAGGGGCAACUAAUUUGGUCAGGGCGGAGCAAAGGAAAGCUUCACAAGAAGAGAAGACCAAUCACAUUAGCUCAUGUUUAGUGAACAUUUACUUAGCUCUGAGCUAAAGUGUUUUACAAAUGUUAUCUUAUCAAAUUAUCAAAAUAACUCUAGGAAAUGGAUACUGUCAGGAGAGAGGAGAGCAUAACAGUUAAGCACAUGAGUUAGGCCUCAGCUUAAACCCUGUCUCUACCACUUAGAAGAUUUCUAGCCUUGAGCAAGUUGUUUAACUCCCAAGGCAUUUUUGUCAACUUCAAAAUGGAGAUAGAUAAUAGUUUUUUUAAAAAAAUUAGUUCUGGCUGGGCGCGGUGGCUCACGCCUGUAAUCCCA